GUUAGCUGCAGAAGAAGCACCGGCUAACUCCGUGCCAGCAGCCGCGGUAAUACGGAGGGUGCGAGCGUUAAUCGGAAUUACUGGGCGUAAAGCGCAUGCAGGUGGUUUGUUAAGUCAGAUCGUGAAANCCCCGGGGCUCAACCUCGGAAUUGCAUUUGAAACUGGCAAACUAGAGUACUGGUAGAGGGGGUAGAAUUUCAGGUGUAGCGGUGAAAUGCGUAGAGAUCUGAAGGAAUACCGGUGGCGAAGGCGGCCCCCCUGGACAGAUACUGACACUCAGAUGCGAAAGCGUGGGGGAGCAAACCAGGAUUAGAUACCCCUCGGUAG
RNAcentral lists this ribosomal RNA (327 nucleotides) under uncultured bacterium. RNAcentral's name for it is "bacterial SSU rRNA". It matches the Rfam family "Bacterial small subunit ribosomal RNA", at positions 474 to 793 of the family's 1533-position model. The record is from RNAcentral.